ACACGCAUGACACACUGCAUAUCAAUAAGCGGAGGAAAAGGUACCUACGCUUAGGAUGUUGACGAGACUGUCGAUCUCAUCUAUACAUGACCUACUGUGCAUAUCAAUAAGCGGAGGAAAAGAAACUAACAAGGAUUCCCUUAGUAACGGCGAGUGAAGCGGGAAGAGCUCAAAUUUGAAAUCUUCAAGGUUCUACCUUGACGAAUUGUAGUUUAUAGAAGUGUUUUCUGUUAGUAGAGUGGCAAAAGUUCUUUGGAAUAGGACAUCAUAGAGGGUGAGAAUCCCGUAUUUGGUCAUUCCUCCUAGCGUUGUGAUACACUUUCAACGAGUCGGAUUGUUUGGGAAUGCAGUCCAAAAUGGGUGGUAAAUUUCAUCUAAAGCUAAAUAUUGGCGAGAGACCGAUAGCGAACAAGUACCGUGAGGGAAAGAUGAAAAGAACUUUGAAAAGAGAGUUAAACAGUACGUGAAAUUGUCAAAAGGGAAGCGUUUGACACCAGUGUUGUUUUUCCGAAAAUCAAUUACGAAUGUUUUGUUUUUGAGGAGUUAUGACUUCAUCGGCUUGCUUCUCUCUUUACGAAACUUUCUUAAUGCACUUUUCGGUUAACAAGUCAACAUCAAUUUCUUUUGUUGUAAAAGGGUAUGAGGAAGGUGGCUUUCUUUUCGGAGAAAGUGUUUAUAGCCUUGUGCCUCUGCAAUCGGAGAGAUUGAGGUCUGCAGCGUAGAUCCUUCGGGGCUAGAUACAUUUGUGCUAAGUUAUAGCUUUUCAUAGACAACUUGUUGACUAUGUUAAGUCUUGUAGCUUACUCGCUUAUGCUAUUUUACCUACGCUUAGGAUGUUGACGAGACUGUCGAUCUC
This 856-nucleotide ribosomal RNA is filed under the name uncultured Neocallimastigales. Its description in RNAcentral is "partial large subunit ribosomal RNA". It matches the Rfam family "Eukaryotic large subunit ribosomal RNA", at positions 1 to 647 of the family's 3401-position model. Lineage: Eukaryota; Fungi; Neocallimastigomycota; Neocallimastigomycetes; Neocallimastigales. The record is from RNAcentral.